Molecule: ribosomal RNA, 247 nt
Filed under: uncultured bacterium
Lineage: Bacteria
Description: partial 16S ribosomal RNA
Rfam family: Bacterial small subunit ribosomal RNA
Source: RNAcentral
AUACGUAGGUGGCGAGCGUUGUCCGGAUUUACUGGGUGUAAAGGGCGUGUAGGCGGGAUUACAAGUCAGAUGUGAAAUACCGAGGCUCAACUUCGGGGCUGCAUUUGAAACUGUAAUUCUUGAGUGUCGGAGAGGAAAGCGGAAUUCCUAGUGUAGCGGUGAAAUGCGUAGAUAUUAGGAGGAACACCAGUGGCGAAGGCGGCUUUCUGGACUGUAACUGACACUGAGGCACGAAAGCGUGGGGAGC